RNAcentral lists this long non-coding RNA (75 nucleotides) under Crocodylus porosus (Australian saltwater crocodile). RNAcentral's name for it is "Mammalian CPEB3 ribozyme (ENSCPRG00005018214.1)". It matches the Rfam family "Mammalian CPEB3 ribozyme". From Rfam's summary of the family: The mammalian CPEB3 ribozyme is a self cleaving RNA located in the second intron of the CPEB3 gene which belongs to a family of genes regulating messenger RNA polyadenylation. This ribozyme is highly conserved and found only in mammals. There is currently only one other known self cleaving ribozyme in mammals, the CoTC motif. Lineage: Eukaryota; Metazoa; Chordata; Crocodylia; Crocodylidae. The record is from RNAcentral.
GGUUGCAAAUUUGAGGCCAUAGCAGAAGCGCUCAUGGCGUGGCCUGUCAGAUCCAAUGAAUCUGCAAAAUCUGCU